UGCCAUCAGAUGUGCCCAGAUGGGAUUAGCUUGUUGGUGGGGUAACGGCUCACCAAGGCGACGAUCCCUAGCUGGUCUGAGAGGAUGACCAGCCACACUGGAACUGAGACACGGUCCAGACUCCUACGGGAGGCAGCAGUGGGGAAUAUUGCACAAUGGGCGCAAGCCUGAUGCAGCCAUGCCGCGUGUAUGAAGAAGGCCUUCGGGUUGUAAAGUACUUUCAGCGGGGAGAAGGGGGAAUGGUUAAUAACCAUUGUCAUUGACGUUACCCGCAGAAGAAGCACCGGCUAACUCCGUGCCAGCAGCCGCGGUAAUACGGAGGGUGCAAGCGUUAAUCGGAAUUACUGGGCGUAAAGCGCACGCAGGCGGUCUGUCAAGUCGGAUGUGAAAUCCCCGGGCUCAACCUGGGAACUGCAUCCGAAACUGGCAGGCUUGAGUCUCGUAGAGGGGGGUAGAAUUCCAGGUGUAGCGGUGAAAUGCGUAGAGAUCUGGAGGAAUACCGGUGGCGAAGGCGGCCCCCUGGACGAAGACUGACGCUCAGGUGCGAAAGCGUGGGGAGCAAACAGGAUUAGAUACCCUGGUAGUCCACGCCGUAAACGAUGUCGACUUGGAGGUUGUGCCCUUGAGGCGUGGCUUCCGGAGCUAACGCGUUAAGUCGACCGCCUGGGGAGUACGGCCGCAAGGUUAAAACUCAAAUGAAUUGACGGGGGCCCGCACAAGCGGUGGAGCAUGUGGUUUAAUUCGAUGCAACGCGAAGAACCUUACCUGGUCUUGACAUCCACAGAAGAAUUCAGAGAUGAAUUUGUGCCUUCGGGAACUGUGAGACAGGUGCUGCAUGGCUGUCGUCAGCUCGUGUUGUGAAAUGUUGGGUUAAGUCCCGCAACGAGCGCAACCCUUAUCCUUUGUUGCCAGCGGUCCGGCCGGGAACUCAAAGGAGACUGCCAGUGAUAAACUGGAGGAAGGUGGGGAUGACGUCAAGUCAUCA
RNAcentral lists this ribosomal RNA (985 nucleotides) under Enterobacteriaceae bacterium. RNAcentral's name for it is "bacterial SSU rRNA". It matches the Rfam family "Bacterial small subunit ribosomal RNA", at positions 216 to 1195 of the family's 1533-position model. Lineage: Bacteria; Pseudomonadati; Pseudomonadota; Gammaproteobacteria; Enterobacterales; Enterobacteriaceae. The record is from RNAcentral.